UGUCAAGUUCAAAUCUCACUC
Molecule: unclassified non-coding RNA, 21 nt
Filed under: Dictyostelium discoideum
Lineage: Eukaryota; Evosea; Eumycetozoa; Dictyosteliales; Dictyosteliaceae
Source: RNAcentral